AUCACAGCUUUUGAACGUCCUCAUUCCUUUCAUGCUAAACGAAACAGGCUUGAAUUCUCUAAAUUUCUCUGGCAGCCCAGCAGACAGGCAUAGGCUGCCUUUGUWUUCCCAUCUGUUACCARCUUUUUCCAUUUGGAACAGUAGUAUAUAUGAACUGCUACAGAUGCAUGGAAAUGCUUCCGACCAGUCUGAAUGGAGACGUUUCUCCCAGCUGUGGAAUGCCACUGGCAAUGUGUUGACCACCAAAUGGAACUUAACAGAAGUGGAUGAAUAUGUGAGACUCCUGGAAAUUAUGAAUAAAGCUCUAAUUCUUGUCGACAUUGGGGUAGCUCCCAGAAAAACAGAAGUAUUUCGGAUCCUUAGUAAUACUAGUGGAGGAAUGAAAUUGUCAGAUCUGAAGGAUUUGUAUAGUUCAUUAAAACUCUUUUUCAAUUUAACUUCUGCUGCAAACAGCACGGUCGACUUAAAAAGAAUAUUUCAAGAAAUUGCCCCACUGUAUGAGAUUGCUGGUGAAAGAUUGUUCUAUCCUCAUCCCUACGGGAAAGAAAACCAAGAUGUUCUAACAAUGGCUGUAGUAAUUUGGAAUCAGAUCAUUUUAAAUAGGACUCAUUUUAAUACAGAGAAAGCAUGGGAGAUUAUCAAAAUGCUARCACUUCAUGCACUGCCACUUGAAGACACAGGGGAUUAUCUCAGCACAAAUGAAGAAGUGUCAUCGUUAUUUUCUGAUUUCUUGUUGACCUCUGUAACAUCUGAAAACUUUGCAGAACAGUUCUUGGUCCUUGAGCAGCUUCUUGCUGCCAUGGCAAAGGUGAACACCAGCGAUUAUUAUGUGCUGAUCUCCUCUUUGUCUAAACUAAUGCAGAGACUCCAGGGUUCCUCUCACGGAAACAAGGGGAGUGAACUUCAUCGUGUCUGGAAGAUUGCUGAAAUGCUCCAGUCCAUGAACUGGGGCAGCAUUGAUAGUCUCAAUUCCCAAUCRUUUCUAGACAUACUGCAAAAUCAGUUUAAAACCAUGAAAAAUGAUUCCAGUCUUCCCUUCAGUAAAGAAAUGAAGCAGCUGAUAAACUUUUUAUCUGCCAUAUUGGAGGUGUAUAGUGAAGAAGACUCCAGAGGAGCCAACAUCUCCAUAUACUCACAAGCCAUAGAAAGGAGUAUAUUCUUUUUAAAAGAUCUGCAGAGAAGUUAUAAUAUCAGCGAGCUCGAAACUAUCAAUCUAUUAUUUAAUUUUUAUAGUAAAUAUACCCAGAGGCUGUUUGAAACGUGGAGAGUAGGAAUGAAAAUCCUUCAUGAUACCAACUUAAACAAAACACUGGAAGAAAAAAUGAGCGUUGUCUAUCAUUUUUCACAUUGGCUACUGCAGAAGGAGUUCAGUGAGUCUGUUUUACAGCACAGUACUUCAUUAGAGGCAAAAAUUUGGGACUUCUUGCAUUUAGCCUUGAGUCCUUU
This 1446-nucleotide long non-coding RNA is filed under the name Dromaius novaehollandiae (emu). Its description in RNAcentral is "lncRNA (ENSDNVG00000004808.1)". Lineage: Eukaryota; Metazoa; Chordata; Aves; Casuariiformes; Dromaiidae. The record is from RNAcentral.